This 497-nucleotide ribosomal RNA is filed under the name uncultured bacterium. Its description in RNAcentral is "partial 16S ribosomal RNA". It matches the Rfam family "Bacterial small subunit ribosomal RNA", at positions 28 to 507 of the family's 1533-position model. The record is from RNAcentral.
GACGAACGCUGGCGGCGUGCCUAAUACAUGCAAGUUGAGCGAUGAAGAUUGGUGCUUGCACCAAUUUGAAGAGCAGCGAACGGGUGAGUAACGCGUGGGGAAUCUGCCUUUGAGCGGGGGACAACAUUUGGAAACGAAUGCUAAUACCGCAUAACAACUUUAAACAUAAGUUUUAAGUUUGAAAGAUGCAAUUGCAUCACUCAAAGAUGAUCCCGCGUUGUAUUAGCUAGUUGGUGAGGUAAAGGCUCACCAAGGCGAUGAUACAUAGCCGACCUGAGAGGGUGAUCGGCCACCUUGGGACUGGGACACGGCCCAAACUCCUACGGGAGGCAGCAGUAGGGAAUCUUCGGCAAUGGACGAAAGUCUGACCGAGCAACGCCGCGUGAGUGAAGAAGGUUUUCGGAUCGUAAAACUCUGUUGGUAGAGAAGAACGUUGGUGAGAGUGGAAAGCUCAUCAAGUGACGGUAACUACCCAGAAAGGGACGGCUAACUACGUG